RNAcentral lists this ribosomal RNA (253 nucleotides) under uncultured bacterium. RNAcentral's name for it is "partial 16S ribosomal RNA". It matches the Rfam family "Bacterial small subunit ribosomal RNA", at positions 524 to 776 of the family's 1533-position model. The record is from RNAcentral.
UACGGGGGGGGCAAGCGUUGUUCGGAAUUACUGGGCGUAAAGGGCUCGUAGGUGGCCAAAUAAGUCAGACGUGAAAUCCCUCGGCUUAACCGGGGAACUGCGUCUGAUACUGGAUGGCUUGAGUUCGGGAGAGGGAUGCGGAAUUCCAGGUGUAGCGGUGAAAUGCGUAGAUAUCUGGAGGAACACCGGUGGCGAAGGCGGCAUCCUGGACCGACACUGACACUGAGGAGCGAAAGCCAGGGGAGCAAACGGG